ACUCCUACGGGAGGCAGCAGUGAGGAAUAUUGGUCAAUGGGCGCAAGCCUGAACCAGCCAUCCCGCGUGCAGGAAGACGGCCCUAUGGGUUGUAAACUGCUUUUCCAGGGAGAGAAACCUGCGCACGUGUUGCGCAAUUGACGGUACCCUGGGAAUAAGCAUCGGCUAACUCCGUGCCAGCAGCCGCGGUAAUACGGAGGAUGCAAGCGUUAUCCGGAUUCAUUGGGUUUAAAGGGUGCGUAGGCGGACUAUUAAGUCAGUGGUGAAAGCCUGCAGCUUAACUGCAGAACUGCCAUUGAUACUGAUAGUCUUGAGUUUGGUUAAGGUAGGCGGAAUGUGUAAUGUAGCGGUGAAAUGCUUAGAUAUUACACAGAACACCAAUUGCGUAGGCAGCUUACUGAGCCGACACUGACGCUGAAGCACGAAAGCGUGGGGAUCGAACAGGAUUAGAUACCCUGGUAGUC
This 464-nucleotide ribosomal RNA is filed under the name uncultured bacterium. Its description in RNAcentral is "bacterial SSU rRNA". It matches the Rfam family "Bacterial small subunit ribosomal RNA", at positions 335 to 795 of the family's 1533-position model. The record is from RNAcentral.